This 511-nucleotide ribosomal RNA is filed under the name uncultured bacterium. RNAcentral's name for it is "partial 16S ribosomal RNA". It matches the Rfam family "Bacterial small subunit ribosomal RNA", at positions 29 to 523 of the family's 1533-position model. The record is from RNAcentral.
AUUGAACGCUGGCGGCAUGCCUAACACAUGCAAGUCGAACGGCAGCACAAUAAAGAUUUCGGUCUUUAUGGGUGGCGAGUGGCGGACGGGUGAGUAACGCGUAGGAAUCUGUCCUGGAGAGUGGGAUAACCCGAGGAAACUCGGGCUAAUACUGCAUGACAUUGAGAGAUCAAAAGCAGGGGACCGAAAGGCCUUGCGCUCUGGGGUGAGCCUACGUCGGACUAGCUAGUCGGUGGGGUAAAGGCCUACCAAGGGGACGAUCCGUAGCUGGUCUGGGAGGAUGACCAGCCACACGGGGACUGAGACACGGCCCAGACUCCUACGGGAGGCAGCAGUGGGGAAUCUUGGACAAUGGGGGAAACCCUGAUCCAGCGAUGCCGCGUGUGUGAAGAAGGCCUUCGGGUUGUAAAGCACUUUAGGUGGGGAAGAAAGGUAGCGAGUGAAUAACUUUCUGCUGUGACGGUACCCACAGAAUAAGCACCGGCUAACUCUGUGCCAGCAGCCGCCGUAA